CGCAUAUUGCGCCCUUUGGUAUUCCGAAGGGCAUGCCUGUUCGAGCGUCAUUAUCACCCCUCAAGCCCGGCUUGUUGUUGGACAAGGCCCACCCUUAAUGGGUCGGCCGGUCCCAAAGAUAAUGACGGCGUCUGCGAGGCUCCCAGUACACUGAGCUUUCGGGCACGUACUCGGUUAGCGCUCCAGCCCCGGUCUUACUUAGUCCUUUCACCGGACACUUUUUAAGGUUGACCUCGGAUCAGGUAGGAAUACCCGCUGAACUUAA
Molecule: unclassified non-coding RNA, 265 nt
Filed under: Ascomycota sp.
Lineage: Eukaryota; Fungi; Ascomycota
Description: partial contains 5.8S ribosomal RNA, internal transcribed spacer 2, and large subunit ribosomal RNA
Source: RNAcentral